GACGAACCGUGCGAACGUUGUUCGGAUUCACUGGGCUUAAAGGGCGCGUAGGCGGCUUGCCAAGUCAGGGGUGAAAUCUUUCGGCUCAACCGGAAAACGGCCCCUGAUACUGGCGGGCUGGAGGAGGGUAGGGGCAGAUGGAACUUCCGGUGGAGCGGUGAAAUGCGUAGAUAUCGGAAGGAACGCCGGUGGCGAAAGCGACUUACUGGACACAUAUUGACGCUGAGGUGCGAAAGCGUGGGGAGCAAACAGG
Molecule: ribosomal RNA, 253 nt
Filed under: uncultured bacterium
Lineage: Bacteria
Description: partial 16S ribosomal RNA
Rfam family: Bacterial small subunit ribosomal RNA
Source: RNAcentral